RNAcentral lists this ribosomal RNA (447 nucleotides) under uncultured bacterium. Its description in RNAcentral is "bacterial SSU rRNA". It matches the Rfam family "Bacterial small subunit ribosomal RNA", at positions 29 to 523 of the family's 1533-position model. The record is from RNAcentral.
AACGAACGCUGGCGGCAGGCCUAACACAUGCAAGUCGAACGCUGUAGCAAUACAGAGUGGCAGACGGGUGAGUAACGCGUGGGAACCUUCCCAGUGGUGCGGAAUAGCCCAGGGAAACUUGAGGUAAUACCGCAUAAGCCCCUAGGGGGAAAGAUUUAUCGCCAUUGGAUGGGCCCGCGUCGGAUUAGCUAGUUGGUGAGGUAAUGGCUCACCAAGGCAACGAUCCGUAGCUGGUGAGAGAAUGACCAGCCACACUGGGACUGAGACACGGCCCAGACUCCUACGGGAGGCAGCAGUGGGGAAUCUUGGACAAUGGGCGCAAGCCUGAUCCAGCCAUGCCGCGUGAGUGACGAAGGCCUUAGGGUUGUAAAGCUCUUUUGCCGGGGACGAUAAUGACGGUACCCGGAGAAUAAGCCCCGGCUAACUUCGUGCCAGCAGCCGCGGUAA